GAUGAACGCUGGCGGCGUGCUUAACACAUGCAAGUCGAACGGGAAUUAUUUUAUUGAAACUUCGGUCGAUUUAAUUUAAUUCUAGUGGCGGACGGGUGAGUAACGCGUGGGUAACCUGCCUUAUACAGGGGGAUAACAGUCAGAAAUGGCUGCUAAUACCGCAUAAGCGCACAGAGCUGCAUGGCUCAGUGUGAAACACUCCGGUGGUAUAAGAUGGACCCGCGUUGGAUUAGCUGGUUGGUGGGGUAACGGCCCACCAAGGCGACGAUCCAUAGCCGGCCUGAGAGGGUGAACGGCCACAUUGGGACUGAGACACGGCCCAGACUCCUACGGGAGGCAGCAGUGGGGAAUAUUGCACAAUGGGGGAAACCCUGAUGCAGCGACGCCGCGUGAAGGAAGAAGUAUCUCGGUAUGUAAACUUCUAUCAGCAGGGAAGAUAGUGACGGUACCUGACGAAGAAGCCCCGGCUAACUACGUG
RNAcentral lists this ribosomal RNA (478 nucleotides) under uncultured bacterium. RNAcentral describes it as "partial 16S ribosomal RNA". It matches the Rfam family "Bacterial small subunit ribosomal RNA", at positions 28 to 507 of the family's 1533-position model. The record is from RNAcentral.